Anguilla rostrata (American eel) is the source of this 1648-nucleotide long non-coding RNA. RefSeq lists it as uncharacterized. Lineage: Eukaryota; Metazoa; Chordata; Actinopteri; Anguilliformes; Anguillidae. The record is from RefSeq and is a predicted model, not a curated record. The transcript has 2 exons.
GCCAACUUCUGGCUGUAUUUACUUAUUCACCAUUUAGGCCAUCUGACCUGUUAGCUACAUUUCUUGGUAAGCGGACGACUGAUAGCCAAAGACUGUUCUUGUAUCCCUACAUAAAGCCUCUUAGUGUGAUCAAAUCUACGAGUGAACCAGUGCUGGUGUAUAUAGCCAGUUAGCUCAUUUAGCCGGGGUUAUUUCUGGGAACAAAUACCUGCGUACAUCCCAGCCCCCCAGGACCGGAAUUGGCCACCCCCUAAACAAGUACAUCGCACCACAUAAUUGCUCGUCUGCUAAAAAGCGAGAUGUUCGUCGACGCGUUGAAUGGUUUCUUGAGAAUCGAUCGUCUUGUGUCGUCGUGAGGUUGGCGGUUUACUCCACCUCUGUCCGUGGCCUAUCCACGCGAGUAGCCGCUGUAAAAUGGCCCUUCCCGUUGCUCAAAGGUGAUUGGCUGAUUGAGUGGCAGUGUAGUAUAAUGGUUUAGCCUUUAGCGACUGGGCUUGUGACCCAAAGGUUGCAGGUAUGAGUCCCAGGUCGGACACUGCCGCUGUACCCUUGUGCAAGGUGCUUAACCUGAGUUGCUUCAGUGUAUAUCCAGCUGUGAAAAAUGGAUUCUAUGUAAAAAUGAGAAAGUUGUGUAAGUCGCUCUGGACAAGAGCGUCUGAUAAAUCACUGUGACGUGAUGCUUUCUGAGACCUUGUAUUUACAGAAAAUAGGUCUCUGAAGACAGCCGUCACAUUGUAUAUGUUAAACACAUCAAAAACAGCAAAUUGCGUCAUAAUUAUUCUGAUUAUGUGAAUUAUGUCAUAUUAAUUUUGCGCUAUAUAAUAAACCAAUUCCUGUAUAGAAUACCAACUGCUUUCUGGAUAGCACAGCAGGCAAAAUAAAUGAUACAAUAUUACCGAUAUAAAGAGAGCUAUAAAGUUUCAUUAUUGCAUCAAAGUCACAUGACUGUUUUAGGAAUGGCUGUUGACCAAAGCAGAAGGCUGUGCUGCACAGAGCUCUUAACUGUGCACUGCCCUUACCACAGGGUGAGUGCAUCCUGCGCUACUGUAAAAUAAAAUCAUUUAACGACCGUCAUAUUUUCCAUUUGCGUUUCUUAAACAUUUUAUUUUGGCUAUUUGCUUGGACCAUAAGAGAAUGUGUGCACUAUUAUUAUUAUUAUUAUUGUUGUUCUUAUUAAUACUGAUACUACUAAUAAUAAUCCAUGCCUAUACAGUAUGUGAUACUCAAUAUCAUUCCAUCUAUGUGCAAUUUUUAUAGCUACAAUUUAAAAGGAGUCUUUCAAAACGUUCUGCUUUUUACAGCUCGAGCAUCGGCAUCCCUUGAUAUCAGAGCCUGUCGGGUAUCGUGCUGUUCUUUGAGAAAAUAUGAAGUUUAAUGCAUUGCAGUGCUGUCUAUCUGAAACGUGUGCUUGGUGUGCAGCUUCAGUCCGAGGUUUUGAUGUUCAGCUGUGGCGUUAGUCGCGAAUCCGUUCUUUAAACUCUUAAUCUCUUAAAACUCCUUCGUUAGGCAUUUCAUAAAACAAUAAAUUAACUGUUAUUUUCAAACUGUACUGCUUGACCCAUUUCCUAUACUGUAGCUACAUAAUGGAGAGUGGUUUUAUGUUGCUGUGGUGUAAUGAAAUCAUAAAUAAACAUGACUUUCUACCUUG